This 465-nucleotide ribosomal RNA is filed under the name Vreelandella stevensii. RNAcentral describes it as "partial 16S ribosomal RNA". It matches the Rfam family "Bacterial small subunit ribosomal RNA", at positions 338 to 795 of the family's 1533-position model. Lineage: Bacteria; Pseudomonadati; Pseudomonadota; Gammaproteobacteria; Oceanospirillales; Halomonadaceae. The record is from RNAcentral.
CCUACGGGUGGCUGCAGUGGGAAAUAUUGGACAAUGGGGGCAACCCUGAUCCAGCCAUGCCGCGUGUGUGAAGAAGGCCCUCGGGUUGUAAAGCACUUUCAGUGAGGAAGAACGCCUGGUGGUUAAUACCCAUCAGGAAAGACAUCACUCACAGAAGAAGCACCGGCUAACUCCGUGCCAGCAGCCGCGGUAAUACGGAGGGUGCGAGCGUUAAUCGGAAUUACUGGGCGUAAAGCGCGCGUAGGUGGCUUGAUAAGCCGGUUGUGAAAGCCCCGGGCUCAACCUGGGAACGGCAUCCGGAACUGUCAAGCUAGAGUGCAGGAGAGGAAGGUAGAAUUCCCGGUGUAGCGGUGAAAUGCGUAGAGAUCGGGAGGAAUACCAGUGGCGAAGGCGGCCUUCUGGACUGACACUGACACUGAGGUGCGAAAGCGUGGGUAGCAAACAGGAUUAGAUACCCCGGUAGUC